RNAcentral lists this long non-coding RNA (6485 nucleotides) under Bemisia tabaci. Its description in RNAcentral is "lncRNA ENSASIAIIG007106". The record is from RNAcentral. Lineage: Eukaryota; Metazoa; Arthropoda; Insecta; Hemiptera; Aleyrodidae.
UGUUGAGAUAUUUUCCUGAUUUGACUUAAUCCGCCAAUCUUGCUUACAGGGCUGAUGCAAAUUCAACGAACGGUGGUCCGUCAGAGAGGUCCCUACUUCAGACCGAACAUGAAUAAAUACCCGAAAGGAGCGGUGUAUGCCAGAUAUAGGGUGCCACCGAUUUACGUGACCUUCAAAUGUCCGCCGAAAGUUGGCUUAUUGCUGUGCAGGGGGAGUUGCGAGAGACGGAGCAAAUACACGAUAGGAUCCUGCGAUAAUGGCUAUUGUACCUGUUUACUGCUCACGCCUGGUUUUCGUGGUAAAGGAGUCUUUGCAAGAAGAGCGAAUUGUUCAUUGAAAGAGGAUAGAAUGAAGUGUAACCGAUUCUGCCGCUACCAGUUCGGCAGGACUGCUUACGGAUUAUGUCGUGGCACGGUGUGCCGAUGCUUCACAAACCCGGGGAUCUCGACGAAAAAUCAAAUGACUGCUUGUGAGCAGGCACGGAGAAGGCUGGCGUUUCUGGAAGCGAGCUUGCGGAAGAUUUUGCGGAAGGAACCGUCCACCCGGACACCAGCUGAAAGACGAUUCCUCCAAGAGGUCAGGAAGAGACCUGAGGUCCUCAGACGUUUAGCCACGCCGAGGGGACGACGCUCCCCCAGGCGGAUGCCGUACUACAGGGGCACAGGGUCCCCCGGGUCCCCAGGGUCCAGGAAGCCCCAGCCAACUCUCCAACAGACCAUUCCAUUGAGUAAGAUCCCGAACGGGAAGAAGUACACCGGGAGUCCACGAAAGUCCCCAGCGAGAGCUACUAAAUACGUGCCAGGACCAUCUAAGAGCCCAUAUCAGAGCCCGCGGCGGAACCAGAGGACGGGUAAGUCAAACUCGAGGAAGGGUGGGUCCAGCUCGACGAAAGGUGGGUCUAACUCGAGGAGGGUUGGUUCAAGCCCUAGAAAGGGUGGAUCGAGCUCGAAGCAAGCACCUAAGAGGGCCCAAAGUCCUCUUAAAAAUAGACGACAAAGUCCUGGAAAUGGAGGCUUUGGCGGUGUUCCAGCAAGAAAGACACGCAAGGAAGAAGAUGACGAUGACGAUGAUAGUGGAGAAAGUGGAAGCCUUCGUAACGGUGGUAAUGGAGGGGGCCGGAAUGGUGGGGUAGGUGGUCGAGUUGGAGGAGGAGGUGGCCAAGGUGGUGGAUAUGGCCGAGGUAGAGGAGAAGAUGACGAAGAUGGAGAUGAGUUCGGCCGAGGCGGAGGAGGAGGCCGAGGUGGAGGUGUAGGUGGAGGCCAAGGUGGCGGAUAUGGCCGAGGUAGAGGGGAAGAUGGCGAAGAUGGAGAUGAGUUCGGACGAGGCGGAAGAGGAGGCCGAGGUGGAGGUGUAGGUGGAGGUCUAGGUGGUCUCGACGGAGGCGUAGGUGGAGGCCUAGGUGCAGGAGGUGGAGGCCGAGGUGGAGGAUCCAGUGGAGGAAGAGGAGGCCCAGGUGGAGGAAGAGAUGGCCUAGAUGGAGGAGGAGGCAGCCAACGUGGAGGAAGAGGUGGUCUAGGUGGAGGAAGAGAUGGCCUAGAUGGAGGAGAUGGGAGCCAGCGUGGAGGAAGAGGUGGUGUGGGCGGAGGAGGAUUCCUAGGUGGAGGAAGAGGUGGUCUAGGGGGAGGAGAAGAAAGCCGAAGUGGAGGAAGGAAUGGCCUAGCUGGAGGAGGAGGAAGCCGCGGUGGAGGCAAUGGAGGAUAUGACACGCCAGGUAAAAACGGGUACGCACCAGGUGGGCAGAAAUAUGGGCAAGGAUAUGGCGGGGAAGGCAGUCAGUUGAAUAGUGAAGAAUACGAUUCGGAAGAGAACGAUCGGAGAGGUCUUAACGGCGGUUAUGGAGGAAGACAAAAAGAUGGACGUCUGGCAGGCGAUGUGCCCAACUACGGAAGAACAGAUUCGCGAGGAGGCGGUCGAGGCUCGGUCGCACCAUCAGUCACCCCAUCCGGGACACCAGCAAGCACGCCACGAUCCGGAAGACAAGUGCCGCCCCCAUUAGCGCAGCAGACUCUCGGCCGUGACGAUCCCGCUAUCCACGUCGGGGGCAAGUUCGGGGACCCCGCGGAACGAAGUCGCCUCGAGAACCAUAGGGAUGCCCUCGAACAAGAGAGGGUAGGCAUAGAUCCCAAGACAGGAAAAGAGGUGGUCGUGCCCUACCUCCAUCCCGACAAGGCGGGAGGCAGGACCCGCCGAUCCCACCCGGCGCACGAGAGGAGGUAAAGGUGGACCCUGUGACUGGUCAGACGUAUCUGCCGAACCACGAAUCAAAGCAAGUUCUUUCCGAAGAGGGUGCAUGCCCGAUCCCUCCAGCCCCGGGAGUCCAAGACGGGCUCCGCGAUCCGCCAGGUCUUCGGGAAGAGGAGCUGCGCAACACGGGAGGUCUCCGAGAUGACCUGCGCGAUAAUCGUAAUCUGGGGUAUGAGGACGACCCGCCACGUAAUCGCGAACAGGGGUAUCGGGGCAAUCAGGGCGGGUAUGAGGACAAUUACGCCCGCCCCGAUCGAGGUUAUCGAAAUAACCAGGGUGGAUACUAUGGUGGAGACGAGGAACUGCUGGAUGAGUGGAAUGAAGAUCGAGAUUAUGACCCCAAUGAGGAUUACGAAUAUGAGCAACCGAACAGAAAUCCGCGGGGUGUGCGGCCUCAGUUGUAUGAUGAUGAGGUAGAGCCAAGGUACGAGGAUCGGUUGGGGCCUCAGUACCAGCAGGAAAAUGAAUACCCGCAGUAUCAGAAACAGCAAGGUUACGGAAACAGACAACGAGAACUGGAGGAGGAAGAAGCUUAUCGGCGAGAGGAGGAAUUAAUGCAGAGACCUCGUCCACGAUAUUGAUUCACUUUGCAGGAGGGAAAAAUCAAUGGGUCGGCUGCGCUAGAGUCCCUUUAUACUGAGAGUCGAGACAAUGUGAAUCCAUUUCUGAUUGGUUCCCGUAGUUUAGGCCUCCACAUUGUCACAAACGGGAAUUAAGAUUACAUUUUCACCAAUUCCAAAGAUUAUAAUCUAGAAUGGACCGGGGAAUAACGGGUUCGACAAGGAACGAACGGAAUGAGAGAAGGAACGGAGACGGAGAGAGGAAUUUGAGAAUAAGCCGAUCAAAGAUUACGAAAAACUGACAAUUUUUGUAAUCUUUAUUCCCGUUUGUGACUCCAUGAGGGGGAGGGGAGGGGUGUCUUAACUCUCAGUAUAAAGGGACUCUGGGCUGCGGUGGUCAUAGAAUGGAGAUGUUGCAUGUGUGAGUGAUUUGCGAUUUGACCAUUGAUUCAUACGUAAAAGGUCGCGAGAAACACGAUGGUGCCACUGGUUUUCUCUGAAAUCAUAUCCCAAGCUCAAAAAAAGCUCUCAAAGUGAGGCCAAAAUGGAGGGGAUUUCCCACCCUACCCUGAGAGUCCACCUCUACAUCAAAACAAACUCGUUUUCAGUUUUGGAGCCCCCAAAUAAAGUGACAACCCUGCCAAUGUAUUUGCUCCCUAUCUAUGUAUGGAUAGUUUGUUUUGAUGUAGAGGUGCGGACUCUCAGGGUAGGGUGUGAUAUCCCCUCCAUUUUGGCCUCACUUUGAAAGCUUUUUUGAGCUUGGGAUAUGAUUUCAGAGAAAACCAGUGGCACCAUCGUGUUUCUCGCGAACUUUUACAUAAGAAUCAAUGGUCAAAUCGCAAAUCCCUCACACAUGCAACAUCUCCAUUGGACGUAUUUAUGUCAAAUGGAGCUAUGUGCAAGUGGAAAGAUGGGGUGUGCUCGUUAGUGCUCGGGCCAUUAGAAUGAAUGGGACUUUAAAAGCGCCAGUGACAUCAGCGAUGAGGACCGGGCGCGAGGAGGCGCGACAUGAGCGACGACGACUAGGUCGUCAAUCUUUAACUCAUGAGCCCUGUCCACAAGGCUCUUGUCACAUGCCCGCGGCUCACGAGUUAGCGCUUAGUUCCUUUUGAUUUAAUUGAAAUUUCCGCUUUUCCAUUUUCUAAAAAGGAACUAUAUUCAUUUUUACAUUGUUUCUUAUGCAGUUUCCACGAGCACACCCCAUCUUUCCACCUCCACAUAGUUCCUUGUGGCAUAAAUACAUUUAAUUUUUGUUUCAAUGCUUGAUUCUUGUAGAUUAGUUAGAAAUAUUAAGAUCUGUCCAAACCGCAACUUUCUACGUUCGAUAUUAACCGAGAUAUCGCCCUUUGAAAAGUUGGUUUUUGACGUCAUCCACCGCGGUAGUGACACCCUUGGUUUCUUUCGCCCUGUUUUUCAUCCGCGUUUCACGUAGAGUAACAUCAGUGCUAAUAUGUGUCUCCCUAACUGAUAAAACCAAGGUGGAAGAAACCAAAGGUGCCACUAUCGCGGUGGAUGACUUCAAAAGCCCGACUUUUCAUAGGGCAAUUUCUCGGUUAAUAUUGAACGUAGAAAGUUGCGGUUUGGACAGAUCUUAAUAUUUUCAGCUAAUCUACUAGAUUCAAGCAUCAGCGCAACUGACCCACAGAGGGGCUAGGAAAACAAACGGGAUAGGUGCAUUUUUUACUGUUUCAAGAAAUACGUGUUUCAGUUUCUAAAUUACAUGGAUCCUUGAAAGCAAGUUUAAACUCACUUUUGGAUGCUAAAAAUUUGAUUUUAGUGGUGAAAUUUUCACAGAGUAUAUUUUCAGGCUAGUUUCAGUUGGAAUCAUCAAUAUCUCAGUUUUUUUCAAAAAUUGCACUUAUCUCAUAAUUUGUCUUCCGAGCCUCUCAAUUGCAACCGGAUCUGUGAAAAGGAGUUUUACUUUCCAGGAGAAAAUUUUCCUUAACUUUUUGCAAAACACGAAUAGGAGUAUUAUUGUUUUGAUUAAUACGUCACAUCAUUCUAACUUCAAAAGCAUAACAAUUUUCGCCCACGAAGCCAACUCAAACACCCAAAGCAAGCCAUCCCCAAUCUAAAAUAAAUAUUUUGGAUCACCGAGUUUUUUUCACAGAAGAAGACUUUCAUAUAUUAAAGAUGAUGACUAAGCACAUGCAGAUCAAGCAUCAACUCUACUUUCCUUCGAUUUGUGUCGGUUCCUUUCUUCUAAAUCGACGGCCAAAGUGAGCACCCGCGCGUAUUACCAUCGCGAUGUUUCAACAUUUCCACUCAUAGUUUAUUUUUGCGAAGCUAAACAAGUCAACUUUAUAGCUUGAAACCUAUACAUAAAUAUUCUGCUGGCAGAUAAAAAAAAUCAAGGAAGUUUUCAAGAAAUUACGUUGAAUAUAGUAAUCGAAAAAAAAAUUAAGUAGACAGGAAGUUUACAACAUCGCAAACUCAGAUACGUGGUUUCGCACUUCGGUCCUCGAAAUGUGAUUCAAAAAUGCGUGUUUCUGUGCCUGUUUCAUUCUCCUCUAUGUGCGGGGUGAAAAGCCCUCAUGGGAAUCUGCUGAACCUUUGUUAGGAUGUGCUCGUGGCUUUUCGAGACAUAGAAUUUUAUUAAAAUCAAAUUAAAUUAAGUUGUUGAACAGAGACAUUAAAUUCGAAAGCGAGUUUGAAAACGCCAGAGCAACAAACAAAUGUUUAUAUACUCGUCAAAAUGACUUGAAUGCAGGCAUAUUAUUUGCUACAUGACACCCGAGACCGCACAAAAACUCAUCAACUUCAUUACAAAAUAAUUAAUCCGAUUUUUCUCUCGAUUAGGUAUACAUCCCUCUCCCCCCCUUACUUUUCGACUGGUAAAAUUAGACUUUGACUUGUUAUGCUAGUUAUUUAAUCAGAAGUUAGAUAAAUUAACCUAAGAAGUAGCACUAUGAAUUGUUUCUGUAAAUAAAAAUUACCCACAUAUUAUAGUAGUCUACUACACUUAUACAUAAUAAGCAAAGGAGAGCGAGCUUUCUAAUGCUUUGUCUCAUUAUAAUAUCAAUUAUUUCUGUAAAUUGUGAUAUUAUUUUUGUAUAAAGAAAUAUGACUUUUGGAAAUAGUUUUUCCUUUAUUUUUUUUAAAAUCAGAGUUCUCCUGCCUUUACAAAUGCUCACCUCUCCCUAUGAAAAACACUGUGAAAAAAUGAAAAAGUCGAUUUAAACUCCAGAGGAAUUGAAAGAAGAAGUACGGAGGAGGAAAAAUAAACAUCCGAUUCGCAAGGAUAUUUGGAACAAUAAAAUUUUCAAUGUGCAGUUAAUGUCACAGUCGCUGAACAUCAAAUUUUUCACUUAUUUUUUUAAUCAAUAUCAUAAAUCACUCGCACAUCCCACUUAUAAUAGUUACCCGACCUAUGUCGGCAAUUCUUUCGUUCACGAUAACUAUCGUUAGAUUUACGUUAGCAGAUUCAAAUUUUGUAAUUUUGUCCAUUUUGGUCUGAUGAAGAACUGUAUAGAUUUUCGGAUAAAUCGCAUUUACCGAUUACUUAUAAACGGUAAUUAACGUAGGUAAGUGCCCUACAUACGCUGUUUUCCACUAAUCUGUUUUUAUGAAAGUUCCAUGUUCCUUAGUUUCCUUGGUAACCUUUGUUUGCUAUCAGCUGAUGUUUUAUUUCAAUUUCUUUUUUUCAUUUUUUCUUUUUUUUUGUUAAUAAAUCUUUGCUAG